CCCUGCCCUAUGAUUAUUUAAAUGGCUGCAGUAUUCUGACUGUGCAAAGGUAGCAUAAUAAUUAGUUUUUUAAUUGAGGACUUGUAUGAAUGGGAAUAUGAGAAAUAUUUUUUAUUAAUUUUAUUUUUAAAAUUUAAUUUUUAAGUAAAAAAGCUUAAUUUAUUUUUCGGGGCGAGAAGACCCUAUAGAACUUAAAAUUUUUUAAAUAACAGUUCGUUUUGAUUAAUUAUUAAAUUUUAUUUAAGUUUUUUUUAUUGGGGUGAUGAAUAAAUAUAAACUUUAUUUUUUUAAUUCAUUUAUAAAUGUUUGAUUGAUCCAUAAAUUUGAUUUAAAGAUUAAGUUACCUUAGGGAUAACAGCGUAAUUUUAAUGGAAAGUUCUUAUUUAUAUUAUAGUUUGCGACCUCGAUGUUGAAUUAAGAUAAGAGUGGCGGGUAG
Molecule: ribosomal RNA, 436 nt
Filed under: Madumbra melancholica
Lineage: Eukaryota; Metazoa; Arthropoda; Insecta; Hemiptera; Cicadellidae
Description: partial large subunit ribosomal RNA
Source: RNAcentral